UACGUAGGGUGCAAGCGUUGUCCGGAAUUACUGGGCGUAAAGCGCGCGCAGGCGGUCCUUUAAGUCUGAUGUGAAAGCCCACGGCUCAACCGUGGAGGGUCAUUGGAAACUGGGGGACUUGAGUGCAGAAGAGGAAAGCGGAAUUCCACGUGUAGCGGUGAAAUGCGUAGAGAUGUGGAGGAACACCAGUGGCGAAGGCGGCUUUCUGGUCUGUAACUGACGCUGAGGCGCGAAAGCGUGGGGAGCAAACAGG
Molecule: ribosomal RNA, 253 nt
Filed under: uncultured bacterium
Lineage: Bacteria
Description: partial 16S ribosomal RNA
Rfam family: Bacterial small subunit ribosomal RNA
Source: RNAcentral